Molecule: long non-coding RNA, 578 nt
Filed under: Equus caballus (horse)
Lineage: Eukaryota; Metazoa; Chordata; Mammalia; Perissodactyla; Equidae
Description: lncRNA (ENSECAG00000054702.1)
Source: RNAcentral
UGCAGAGUGUGGGCUUUCCAGCCAGAAACUGCUUUAUCUUGAGUCAACUAAUUAACUUGACAAAGCUCUCAGUGCUUUAAAAACAAGCAACAUCUCUGAACAGCUGACAGCAUUUUAGAGAGAUACAUCUGGGAAGCUGCAAGCACAGAAAUACAUCUGUUUCCAUUGUUAUAGAAAGAUAAACAGGAUCAGACUCCAGACACUGUGGGAAAAAAGUUCUUGCUUGUCUGCUUACUGUUUACUGCCUUUCUGGAGGAAGAAAUGUCACGGAUGUGUCAAAUGAUUCAGAAGAGAUGAAAGCCAGUGGGUUUUUCACCAGCAGAGUAAAUAAAUGAGGACUCAACUCAGGAAAAGGACAACCUCUCUUAUGCUUUCCGACACGGCUGCCGGGCAUUCCGCAUUAAAUUGAAAGAGAGUACAAACGAUGCAGAAAAUAUGAUUGAGAUCACCCUAGAUGGCAUGUUAACAGUUUGAGAAAAUUGCUCACAGAAACUAUAUCAAUGAUGCUGAGUCCUGCCUUUGAGUCUCUGCUGAAAACAGCCAGAUUAUUUUCAGAGUGAAUGAAUAAAUUAUGCUGC